Molecule: ribosomal RNA, 549 nt
Filed under: Geotrichum candidum
Lineage: Eukaryota; Fungi; Ascomycota; Dipodascomycetes; Dipodascales; Dipodascaceae
Description: partial 26S ribosomal RNA
Rfam family: Eukaryotic large subunit ribosomal RNA
Source: RNAcentral
UAUUGCAUUUUCCAAUAGCGGAGGAAAAGAAAUCCACAGGGGAAUGACCUGAGGAAAGGAGAGCGACGCGGCAAAAGCUCAAAUUGGAAAUCGGCCUCCCGGUAGAGUUGUAAUUUGUAGAUUGUAUAAUGAGAGCGGAUUAAAGUCUGUUGAACACAGCGCGUUAGAGGGUGCCAGCCCCGUAAAAUCUAUUAUCAUGAUAAGAUACUUUCGAAGAGUCGAGUUGUUUGGGAAUGCAGCUCUAAGUGGGAGGUAAAUUCCUUAAAAAGCUAAAUAUUGGGGAGAGAAUUCCAGCGAACAAGUAAUAUGAAGGAAAGAUGAAAAGCACUCAGAAACGAGAAUGAAAAAAUAAAAAAAAUUGUUAAAAGGGAAGGGUACAGAAUCAGAAUUGGUGGAAAGGGUCAGGUGUGCUUGCGCACAGGGUAUUCAGCAGCAAUAGUCCAAGGGGGGGGGGGAGCGAGAGAAAAAGAAUAGGAAGGCACUCUUGGGAGGUUAUAGCAUACUUUCAUAGCUCUCAGGCGCCUCAGGAGUCGGUGGGCAAGACGUGCA